UUGAAUUUGUCAAACAGGCCUGGCUCCGUCCAAAGAAGCCUUUAAAUACAAUCUCGAGAACAAGCACCCUCAACUAAACAAGUCUCUACUUGGAAAAGAUCCAAGUCUUCCCCACAGAACAAGGCUCGUCUAAACAAAGUCAGCUGGUCUUGAUGGGGUCGUCGGGCAGUUCCUGCCACCUGCUGCUUAUCUUCAGGAUUGCCUCCACCCACCUCCAGUAUUUAAGCCGGCCUGAUCUACCAGUCUUCGCCAGUUCGUCAGAUACUCCUGCGUUUUUUCCCUGUGUCCUGGUCCUCGGCUUUGAUUGCCUCGUCUCCCUGCCUCGCCAGUUCCUGUCCGGAGCUCCUGCAUCCAGCCUCCCAAUUUCUAUCUUCAUCAACCUGUUUAAAUAAACUUCUGUACCGAA
Molecule: long non-coding RNA, 406 nt
Organism: Gasterosteus aculeatus aculeatus (three-spined stickleback)
Lineage: Eukaryota; Metazoa; Chordata; Actinopteri; Perciformes; Gasterosteidae
Source: Ensembl